Caenorhabditis elegans is the source of this 150-nucleotide non-coding RNA. NCBI's taxonomy places the organism in Eukaryota, Metazoa, Nematoda, Chromadorea, Rhabditida, Rhabditidae. The record is from Ensembl.
CACUCGAGCCAACGUCGUCUCCAGGCGCUGCUUGGCGUCCGGCAGAUCCUCCAGGUGAGUUCCAAGGACCACCCGCAAAACCGCCAUUACCACCGAAUCUUCGAGUUGGAAAGUCUGGUUGGAAUGGUUGGAACCCACCGAAGGCUGAAA